The sequence is a transfer RNA, 85 nucleotides long. It matches the Rfam family "tRNA". From Rfam's summary of the family: Transfer RNA (tRNA) molecules are approximately 80 nucleotides in length. Their secondary structure includes four short double-helical elements and three loops (D, anti-codon, and T loops). The record is from Rfam.
GCCUGCUUAGCAUAGUGGCUAAUGCGUUGCACUUGUAUCAUUCGACGACAUGCAAAGAUCACAGGUUCGAUUCCUGUAGUAGGCA